CGGAACGUAGCGCAGCCUGGUUUAGCGCGUUUGACUGGGGGUCAAAAGGUCGAGAGUCCGAAUCUCUCCGUUCCGACCA
This 79-nucleotide transfer RNA is filed under the name Clostridia bacterium. RNAcentral describes it as "tRNA-Pro". It matches the Rfam family "tRNA". Rfam says of the family: Transfer RNA (tRNA) molecules are approximately 80 nucleotides in length. Their secondary structure includes four short double-helical elements and three loops (D, anti-codon, and T loops). The record is from RNAcentral. Lineage: Bacteria; Bacillati; Bacillota; Clostridia.